RNAcentral lists this ribosomal RNA (460 nucleotides) under uncultured bacterium. RNAcentral describes it as "partial 16S ribosomal RNA". It matches the Rfam family "Bacterial small subunit ribosomal RNA", at positions 338 to 795 of the family's 1533-position model. The record is from RNAcentral.
CCUACGGGAGGCAGCAGUGAGGAAUAUUGGUCAAUGGGCGCAAGCCUGAACCAGCCAAGUAGCGUGAAUGAUGACUGCCCUACGGGUUGUAAACUUCUUUUAUAAAGGGAUAAAGUGAGGCACGUGUGCCUUUUUGUAUGUACUUUAUGAAUAAAGAUCGGCUAACUCCGUUCCAGCAGCCGCGGUAAUACGGAGGCUCCGAGCGUUAUCCGGAUUUAUUGGGUUUAAAGUGAGCGUAGAUGGGGUGUUAAGUCAGUUGUGAAAGUUUGCGGCUCAACCGGACAAUUGCAUUUGAUACUGGCAGUCUUGAGUACAGGUGAGGUAGGUGGAAUUCGAGGUGUAGCGGUGAAAUGCGUAGAUAUCACGAAGAACUCCGAUUGCGAAGGCAGCUUACUAAGAUGCCACUGACAUUGAUGUUCGAAAGUGUGGGGAUCAAACAGGAUUAGAUACCCGUGUAGUC